UCAAAACCAUCAAGAUUAUCAUAAAUUAGGGUUCAAACUAUCCACAUUACCACAAAAUAGAAUCAAAUUAGGAUAAAGGAAUAAAAAAACCCAAAUUUUGGCAUGACAAAAUUCCACCAAAACUUCAAUCCAAAUUAGGGCUCAAAGAGCCUCCAGGAUUCCAAAUUACGAAAUCAAUACAAAAGCUUAAAAAAAAAAAACAGGUUAGGGGUUUUUUCAUAACCCCAAACCUGUGCAUGUUGUUGUCUCCUCUGUGCAUGCUGCUUCUCUCUCACAAUCCCCAAAUGACUUUUUUCAUAUUGUCAAACCCAUAGUUCCUCUGUGCGUGUUGCUUCACUCUCUCUCACUCAAUCGCCAAACGAGUUUCUUCAUUUUCCCAAACCCAUAGUUCCUUUGUGUGUGCUGCUCCCUCUGUGCGUAGUGCUUCUCUCUCUGUGUGUGCUGCUUCUGCCUCUGUGCAUGUUGUUCUUCUUCCUCUUUGCGAACUAUAAAUGUCCAGAUGCUUCUU
RNAcentral lists this long non-coding RNA (508 nucleotides) under Amborella trichopoda. Its description in RNAcentral is "long non-coding RNA (ATRI_LNC003076)". Lineage: Eukaryota; Viridiplantae; Streptophyta; Magnoliopsida; Amborellales; Amborellaceae. The record is from RNAcentral.